UCUGGAAAGGCGCGCGAUACAGGGUGACAGCCCCGUACACAAAAGCGCAUGUGCUGUGAGCUCGAUGAGUAGGGCGGGACACGUGGUAUCCUGUCUGAAUAUGGGGGGACCAUCCUCCAAGGCUAAAUACUCCUGACUGACCGAUAGUGAACCAGUACCGUGAGGGAAAGGCGAAAAGAACCCCGGCGAGGGGAGUGAAAAAGAACCUGAAACCGUGUACGUACAAGCAGUGGGAGCCCCACCACCAAAGCAUUCUCUGGUGUUGAAGGCCCUGCAAAGCAGCAUCGCGGUGGCGGAGCGUCGUUUGCGACGCCCAACACACAAAACAAGCGGUGAGUGCUUUGGGGUGGGGUGACUGCGUACCUUUUGUAUAAUGGGUCAGCGACUUAUAUUCUGUAGCAAGGUUAACCGAAUAGGGGAGCCGGAGGGAAACCGAGUCUUAAUUGGGCGUUAAGUUGCAGGGUAUAGACCCGAAACCCGGUGAUCUAGCCAUGGGCAGGUUGAAGGUUGGGUAACACUAACUGGAGGACCGAACCGACUAAUGUUGAAAAAUUAGCGGAUGACCUGUGGCUGGGGGUGAAAGGCCAAUCAAACCGGGAGAUAGCUGGUUCUCCCCGAAAGCUAUUUAGGUAGCGCCUCGUGAAUUCAUCUCCGGGGGUAGAGCACUGUUUCGGCUAGGGGGCCAUCCCGGCUUACCAACCCGAUGCAAACUGCGAAUACCGGAGAAUGUUAUCACGGGAGACACACGGCGGGUGCUAACGUCCGUCGUGAAGAGGGAAACAACCCAGACCGCCAGCUAAGGUCCCAAAGUCAUGGUUAAGUGGGAAACGAUGUGGGAAGGCCCAGACAGCCAGGAUGUUGGCUUAGAAGCAGCCAUCAUUUAAAGAAAGCGUAAUAGCUCACUGGUCGAGUCGGCCUGCGCGGAAGAUGUAACGGGGCUAAACCAU
Molecule: ribosomal RNA, 947 nt
Filed under: Salmonella enterica subsp. enterica serovar Infantis
Lineage: Bacteria; Pseudomonadati; Pseudomonadota; Gammaproteobacteria; Enterobacterales; Enterobacteriaceae
Also listed under: 1 other name
Description: partial 23S ribosomal RNA
Rfam family: Bacterial large subunit ribosomal RNA
Source: RNAcentral